CACCGAAGAACUCUCCCUCACCCAACAGGGCGAUACGCAGUUCCUCUCCAUGAGGACCUUUGUUGAUAACCUCUGCCUGACCGCUUGCCACGAUGAAGAAUUUCUGCUUGUCCUUCCCUUCCUUGACAAAGAGGUUGCCUAAAGCCACUUCCUCCGUCACAAACGAACGGGCAAGCCGGUUGACAAUCUCGUCAUCGAAAGCAGAGAAGAGAGGUAUCUGUUUCAGGCUUUUUGCCGUAAAACUGGGAACACCGUCGAAAUACUCAAUGGAAAGACGCUCCGUCUUUUUGAGUUCUACCUUGGUGCGGUUGACACGGAAGGUACCACCGCUGACCUGUACCCACGGCAACAGUUUCAACAGGAGUCUCGGAGUGAUACUGCCCAUCUGCGGGGCGGUCUUAGUAGUCGUCGCCAGUCUUCUGGCGGUGGCAGUGGUC
Molecule: non-coding RNA, 437 nt
Filed under: uncultured Prevotella sp.
Lineage: Bacteria; Pseudomonadati; Bacteroidota; Bacteroidia; Bacteroidales; Prevotellaceae
Source: RNAcentral